GGGAAUGUGGCUUAGUGGUGGUAGAGUGCUUGCCUAGCAUGCAUGAAGCCCUAGGUUUGAUUCCUCAUUACCA
Molecule: transfer RNA, 73 nt
Filed under: Dipodomys ordii (Ord's kangaroo rat)
Lineage: Eukaryota; Metazoa; Chordata; Mammalia; Rodentia; Heteromyidae
Rfam family: tRNA
About the family: Transfer RNA (tRNA) molecules are approximately 80 nucleotides in length. Their secondary structure includes four short double-helical elements and three loops (D, anti-codon, and T loops).
Source: Rfam by way of RNAcentral